GAGUUACGCAUAUGAAGAGAGCUAUCUGUCGACAGUCAAGUUUUUCUUUAUUACUGUCAUGGAAUUGCUCUCUUUAUAUAGUAUUCG
Non-coding RNA from Musca domestica (house fly), 87 nucleotides. Lineage: Eukaryota; Metazoa; Arthropoda; Insecta; Diptera; Muscidae. The record is from Rfam.